This 1293-nucleotide ribosomal RNA is filed under the name uncultured Psychrobacter sp. RNAcentral describes it as "partial 16S ribosomal RNA". It matches the Rfam family "Bacterial small subunit ribosomal RNA", at positions 162 to 1412 of the family's 1533-position model. Lineage: Bacteria; Pseudomonadati; Pseudomonadota; Gammaproteobacteria; Moraxellales; Moraxellaceae. The record is from RNAcentral.
AUUAAUACCGCAUACGACCUACGGGAGAAAGGGGGCAGUUUACUGCUCUCGCUAUUAGAUGAGCCUAAGUCGGAUUAGCUAGAUGGUGGGGUAAAGGCCUACCAUGGCGACGAUCUGUAGCUGGUCUGAGAGGAUGAUCAGCCACACCGGGACUGAGACACGGCCCGGACUCCUACGGGAGGCAGCAGUGGGGAAUAUUGGACAAUGGGGGAAACCCUGAUCCAGCCAUGCCGCGUGUGUGAAGAAGGCCUUUUGGUUGUAAAGCACUUUAAGCAGUGAAGAAGACUCCAUGGUUAAUACCCAUGGACGAUGACAUUAGCUGCAGAAUAAGCACCGGCUAACUCUGUGCCAGCAGCCGCGGUAAUACAGAGGGUGCAAGCGUUAAUCGGAAUUACUGGGCGUAAAGGGAGCGUAGGUGGCUCUAUAAGUCAGAUGUGAAAUCCCCGGGCUUAACCUGGGAACUGCAUCUGAAACUGUAGAGCUAGAGUAUGUGAGAGGAAGGUAGAAUUCCAGGUGUAGCGGUGAAAUGCGUAGAGAUCUGGAGNGNAAUANCCGNAUGGCGAAGGCAGCCUUCUGGCAUAAUACUGACACUGAGGCUCGAAAGCGUGGGUAGCAAACAGGAUUAGAUACCCUGGUAGUCCACGCCGUAAACGAUGUCUACUAGUCGUUGGGNUCCCUUGAGGACUUAGUGACGCAGCUAACGCAAUAAGUAGACCGCCNUGGGGAGUACGGCCGCAAGGUUAAAACUCAAAUGAAUUGACGGGGGNCCCGCNACAAGCGGUGGAGCAUGNUGGUUUAAUUNCGAUGCAACGCGAAGAACCNUUACCUGGUCUUGANCAUNAUNCUAGAAUNCCUNGCAGANGAUGCGGGNAGUNGCCUUCGGGAAUUAGAAUNACAGGUGCNUGCAUGGCUGUCGUCAGCNUCGNUGUCGUGAGAUGUUGGGUUAAGUCCCNGCAACGANGCGCAACCCUUGUNCNCUUANGUUACCAGCGGGUUAAGCCGGGAANCUNCUAAGGAUACUNGCCAGUGACAAACUGGAGGAAGGCGGGGACGNANNCGUCAAGNUCAUCAUNGGCCCUUACGACCAGGGCUACACACGUGNCUACAAUGGUAGGUACAGAGGGCAGCUACACAGCGAUGUGAUGCGAAUCUCAAAAAGCCUAUCGUAGUCCAGAUUGGAGUCUGCAACUCGACUCCAUGAAGUAGGAAUUCGCUAGUAUUCGCGGAUCAGAAUGCCGCGGUGAAUUACGUUCCCGGGGCCUUGUACACACCGCCCGUCACACCAUGGGAAGU